UUAAUUUGACUAAACACAGGAAAACUUAUCAGGUUCAAACAUAGUAAUGAUUGACAGACUGAGAGCUCUUUCUUGAUUCUAUGGGUGGUGGUGCAUGACCGUUCUUAGUUGGUGGAACGAUUUGUCUGAUUAAUUUCGUUAACGAACAAGACCUCAGCCUGCUAACUAGCUAUGCGGAGGUAUCCCUUCUUUAGAUUAUUCCAAUGUGAUGUAUAACAACAUCGUCAAUCUCUCUAUUUUCCUUUGAUUAUAGACUAAGAUACUUGAAAUUCUCUUGAAGAUGACUUGAGUA
This 292-nucleotide non-coding RNA is filed under the name Solanum tuberosum (potato). RNAcentral describes it as "Eukaryotic small subunit ribosomal RNA". It matches the Rfam family "Eukaryotic small subunit ribosomal RNA", at positions 1190 to 1404 of the family's 1831-position model. The record is from Rfam by way of RNAcentral. Lineage: Eukaryota; Viridiplantae; Streptophyta; Magnoliopsida; Solanales; Solanaceae.